AUUUAGAAUCAAGCAGAGUGAAGAGAUACAUUGAAGCUCCUUUCAGAGGACCUUAGCCACAGUGGAAAUCAUUUGCGACUUAGAGCAGGACACUGUUUUCCUGGUUCACUUGGGACUACCUGUGACUUUAUGUAUACCUGGCAUUCUCAGAGAUCAAGUCAAGUGAGUAUGAAGAGAUGAGAAUCUUACACCACAGAGAAGGUGAAGAGACCACUGACCCUAUGCAUUUUCCUUGUGUUCUUUCAUGAAUCAUUAAUAAUGUGCAUCACAGUUUAACUAAGUGUGCAGUGCCUCAAAGUGCAUUCUGUGGGACACCUGCCUUUGAGUCCCUCGACGUGCUUGUUAUAUCUUUUUGGGUCAUUUUUAAGCACUUAAAAUGUAGGAUUCUUGGAAUUCCAGUUCAUGUAGAAGGAGACAAGAACUGUGGUGGACUGCAGUGUGUCCUUUAAGAAUAUUGGGGAAAUUGGAGGAGAGACUUCUGCGAUGGGCCCCUGGGUAUGAGCCUGGAAGGAUAUUAGGAAAAACGGAUGGAAGGCCAACAAGGGUAAAAGCAGAGCAAGCUUUCAACAAUUUAAUUAGAUGAGUCGACCAAGGAAGAGCGUAGAGGAUCUAUCUGCACACUGGAGACUGAAGGAUCCAGUCAAAGGUCUGGUGCUUCCUGCAGUGUCCUAUGUGAGUCUGUGUCAGGAGGCCGAUGGGUCUGAGAUGCCGGAAAGCUGAAAGAUCAGUGCCAAAAGCUGAAGAGCCUGUGCUGGAAGGCAAGAGAUGAUGUCCAAGGUGAAGGCAAAGACUGGAGCUCCUCCAGAGAAACAGAAGCGGACCCAUCCUUCAUUUUCCCUUUCUACCAUCCAGGUGACAAGCUGCCCUACAGUGGGUCUUCCACACCUUAGGCUAUGGAAUUGCUGAGUCAAUUAAGUUGAGCUUCUCUACUCAAGUUGACACAAUCGAUUAACCACCCAUCACAUUUCCUGUUUGGGAGAAACUAGAAAUAUGGGUUUUUUUAAAAUCUUAUUUUCUUUUUGUAUCUUGUCUUUUUGGUGCCCAAAUCUCUCCAUAUUACUGAGAGGAUAAGUUGGGUCUUUAUGUGGUGCUUCUGACAGAGAUAAUACAAGCCUCAAACUGGUAACAGCAUGUUUACUUUGAACAUGGAAAUAGUCUUAGUUUUGCCUUUAUUGUCUUUCCCCUUUGCUACCACAAAGUUAUUGGCCUUAUCCUCAGUCUGGAGUCCUUGCUGUGUCUGAGGUGUCUGCACCACUGUCAAGUAUCCAUCCAGAGACUAUGCUUAGUGACUGGAUCUGGAACUUCUGGCUUGCUAAAAUCUUACUAAUUGUACCAAGUAAUGGCAUUUCUCCCAAGGAAAGAGGAACAGACUUUCUGACAUUAGCAGGACCCUCAAUUAGGAAGCAGACAGCACACAAACCUCUGGGAUGAGAGGUCUCCUUGCAGUCCCUGGACACUUGGCAUGAUUGGCCUCUCAGGAAUCCCAGCACUGCUGUCUCCCCAGUCUCCAUAGGGAGCAGGUGAGUCUUUGGGAAGCAGGAAAGGACCAGUGUGACCAAGAAAGCGAUUCUGAGAUCUCUUCUGCAGCUCAGAUUCUGUGUGAUGUCAUCUGGGCCUCUCUGCUGCAGCAGAAGUGGGAAGAAAGGACCCUGAAAAAGGAUGUGGUUGCAAGUCACAAACCGAGGUGUGGAGGUGUUGUGGAGAGCUGCUUGGGGAAGUGUGGGGCAGACUGGAGAGUGAAGGAGGGAUCAAGACGUCUCCAUAGGACCGAUUAGGACCUGCCUGGGUGGAAGGUUUUCAGGACACCAAUCAUGAGUGCAGGUCAUCUGCUGGAAAUAUCCUCUAAUCUCUGUUCUGAAGUGGGGGGCUUGAUGGAUUCAGACUGUCCCUUCCUGGGAAGACAGCAGCCUGACCCAUGCAGCCUCCCCUGGAGACAUCUGCCUCUUCCAGGAGGAGAGAAGACACCUUACUCUGAAAAUAUUUUCCUUUUUGUUUAUAUUUCUUUCUCACACUGUACACAGGAGUGUGAGGAAUCUUAGAUCAAAUCAUUGUGCAAUGUAUAAACUAUUUUAUUACACUAACAUAUUGACAUGCUGAGGUUUCAGCAUAAAUCUAAGGGAAAAUCUCACAUACUUAACCACAUUUAGAGCACAUGCUUACUGGGUUCUGACUGUCUCAGCUCAUCUUGAAAAAUGUACAUUUAUGUCAGGGCACACACACCAAACUGCUCCUGAUCAUAUGAAAAACCUGGUGUAUGAUAGACAGUCCACAGACACUUUACUUCUCUUUCCCCCAAGCGAACUGCCACGAAUGUAGAUUAAAACAUCCAUAAAAUCCUGGGAAAGUUAUGGUAUGAGGGCAUUUAAAGUAUUUCUUACCAUAUGUAUAUCAGCUCUCAAAAGUCAUUUUAGAACAGAACAGAAUGCUUGAACCAAGAUAAGGUAAAUAUGAAAUGUCACCAUGGCAAACAUACUAAAAUUUAGGAAAUGCAUCACCUCAAAUUACGUGUUUUUCUGCUCCAUAUCAAGUUGAGGCAGUGUCAGAGUCUAAAACCUGUUGGAGCGAAACAUGAAUAUGAGUUUAUGAGAAGGAAGGUAACAGAGACAAGCAGUCAGAUCUAUAUUGGAAUGAACACAUACACAAAUGUUUCCUUUGUAUGGCAGCGUGUGGAGAUUAGGAUACUGCCUUUCAGAAGCAAGCGUAAAUGUUUUCAUAAUCAACUUCUUCAUCAUACUGCUAUACACAUGAAAUUGGAGAUGCAAAAGUAAAAUUCAGAAGAUAAUAAAUUUUAUAUCUGGGCCUAUCACACAAACUAAAACUAAGAAAAGUUUUUUAAAGAGCAUGAAGAUCAGUAGGUAUAACUUCAAAUUGUCUAUAUUCUGUUACAAGUAAAUGGAGAUAACCAAUGUUGCAAGAGCUAAUAAAAAAUACAGUGUGAACAGCUACAAAGAAUGACAAAUUUGGAACAUUUGUUGGAAAAUGGAUGAACCUGGAAAUAGAAUGUUGAAUGAAAUAAAUCAGACGCACAAGCUUAAAUGGAUGGUACCUCUCACUUGAGUGAGGCAAAAUACAAACACACAAAGAGAAUAAUAAGGAAUGGAUGGAAGAGGACAUGAGGAUGAUUCUCUCGCAGCAGGGAAGUGGUCCAAGGGGAUAAGGAUGAGGAGUGUGGAGGAGGAGAAAGGGAAAUAAGAAUAAAGAUGUGCCGUGCACAGGAACCUAGUAAUCUCAAUGAGUGUAAUGAGUAAAUGCCAUGACAAGGUAAGAUUAAUAAAUCAACACAAACACAAAUCAGGGUAGGGGAAUUAGAGAAGGGAUGGAGGGAGAGGGGAUUAACAACAAGAAACUAGCCAUAGUUUGUGCAUGUCUCCACUCCCCAAGAUGACUGUAAGCUGCAGGUACUGCAGAUAUAUACUAAUGAAAGUUUUUUAAAAGUUAGGAAAAUACAGUUAAAAUGACAUAUUUACAUAAAAGAACUCAGUACACAGAAGAGACCUUUAGAUGAAACAAAGGCAUGCAUGUUAUGAAUUAGCACUGAGCAUUUGAUUUCAUCGGACCUAUACAACAUUUAUGUUUAAAGUUCUCAAAAAUUUGACUAUUUUAUUGACACGAGAGUAACAGAUAAAGACCUGAAAUGAAUGGCUGUAACUGCUGCUCAAAGUAAACUCAUCAGAGAGGUUCUGUAAAAGAGCAGCUACUAACAUAGGCAGAAAUGUCUAAGACAGUGGAGAGUGUAUUUUUAGGAUGGCAUGAGAGAAAUUUAAUGUGUGGAGGGUGAAAGGAUAGUGCUCUAAAUUGUGUGUCCUGACUAAUUAUGAGUUAAAAGGGCUGAUGUUAAUUUAGAAUCCAUAGAAACAGGAACCUGGAGAGGCAGUGUGUGAGAAAGUGUGUGUUUAUGGUUUGUUUCAGCUGCUAGUGCUAUCGUCUCUGAGGCAUAGUGCCUGCAAAGAUGUGGACUUUUCUUUCUUACACAGUUGCCCCUGGCCCUGAAUGCAGGAAAGGGCUGAAUUUCCAAGCCCUCCUACAUUUAGGCGGGCCCCAUUUUUAUCGCAGAGAUCUGAGCAGAAGGAAUGUGAGGAGCAUCUUCUAGGGCUUAAGUGAAUAUGAAGUGGGAUUUCUGAAUUCAGUUAGAUGACAAAUCAUAACCUGGGACUGUGACUGUCACCUGAAGUGAGUCCAGUUUUGGGGGACUGAGCACUUACCUCCUAAGAUCUGAAACUGUGUAUAGGCAGAAUGAUGGCUAGGAUUGAGCUGAAGUACAAGACAGCCAUCAAGUAUUCCCUGGAGAUUUGGUUGGUGUUUGUGGAAAACCCUCAUAUAUCCAGUGUCAGAAGGGAAGAGUUGAGUGUCUGUGUGAGUGUAAGAGUAUGGAAACUGCCUUUGGUUUUUCACCAGUUUCUGAGAAUCCAAAUAUCCUGGCCCCAGCCAGUCCUCCAAGGAUCAAAUCAGAUGGUACUUUACAGAACCUCCCCUUCACCUAGUCCUAGAAGGUUACAAAGCUAAACAGCAGUAGCAGCAUCAGCAUCAGCAUCAUCAGCAACAACAACAACAAAACACGUAAGAACAAGAAACCAAAUAUAGCCAGAGCCCCAAUUAAAGUUCAUCAAGAAGGCCAGGGAAGCACAGGUAUCCCUUGGGUCUGGGAAAACAUCACAGCCAUGUGUUCUGUAAGACCAUGUGUCAAAUUUUCUUUCCUUUCUGUCCUAUUUUUCCCAAGAAAAAGAUUUCACGGCACUUCCCUACAUCAUCAAUAUUCUGUGUAGUCUAGAUCAGCCCACUAGUAACAUAUGAGAAAUCAUUAAAAUGUUGAAUUUCUGCCCAUCCCAUUCAGAUCUGCUACAUAAAAACUAUUGUUUUCACAAGUUCCCCAGAUGAUUUGUCUGUGCAUUAAUACAGAGAAACAUUGUUCUACACUUCCUACCAAAGAAUAAAGAAUGCUCCUACAGGUCAGUGAAGGCACUGACCAUUCUACAUCUCAACGACACUGUAUGGGUCAAUUUCACGUGGCUCGAGAACUGAUUUCCACCCAUCAUUUUCAGUAGUUGUACUCCCUAGUGUUUCUGCCCUCUUGCAAGAGAUAUGAGAAAUAAAAUCUUCUACACAGCUGCACUGCAAACUCAGUCACUACUGUGGCAUUCCUGUGAUGAUAGGGUUUAGCAAUUUGUCACUCCUUUUGAAAGACCCAUGAACCGUGUUCUAUAUGAUACAGGAAUGUACAUCACCAUAUUUUCAUAUGAGGUGCCUUCUGCUACUGUUUCUGAAAUUCUCCUGUGAUCACUAUGAAUGAGGCAUAAUCAUCAAUAGUCACCAGAAGAAACUUUUGCAAAGAUUGAGUGAAUCUAGAACUAAAAGUUACUAAUGGACAAAGUUACUAAUGGCUGCCAUAUUUUAAAGUUCGACACCAUCAAUCUUUCAAUGGUGCUAAUUCUGUAAGUACCACUAGAGAGAGUGCAAUUUUGCAUACAAAGAAAAAAAUCUGAAUUCCUUUGUCUUGGUAAAAAAGGAGUUUUUAGAUAAAAUUCUAUGAAACAUAUACUCUACUCAGUUGGUCAGACACCAGUAUACAAUAGCAUCAUCUAUUUUCCUUCUGUCAUUUGAUGUUUCUUACUCAGCUCAUCCCCAAAAUUCACAAAAUCCGAACUGCUCUUUUGUGGAUAGAUUUUAUUAGACUUUGAACACACACACACGCACACACACACACACACACGCAAAUGAGGUUAUCUAUGUUCUGGCCUCAGGUGAAAUAAAACUCCAUACUCAAUAAACAUUUUUUUUUGAUUCUUGAUGUCUUUGUGUUCUGUGUUUCUCUUAAAAGUCCAGCGCAUUUUGUGACUUUGUAUAGGAGAGCCAUUUUCCAGCCAUAGAUGAGCCAAUCAGCCUCUCCUACCUGGUGUCUGUUCCACUAGGCUUUAUAGGACACAGAUCAGCUCACUGCAACACACACUGAUCUCUGAGAAACCCUCUUUCAUUUAACAUAUCCUACUUUGUUCUUCGUUUGAUAAUAUUGUUAUUGAUAUACUACCGUAUAUUGUUUUGCUUGCAUACAGAAGCCUUGGGACUCAGACUAAGGAAAAGUCCAGGCUGUGCUACUUUUAAGCCUGUACAUAUACAAAUGUAUUUGAUUACAUGACCUGUACUUGAUAACAGGUCCUGAUAACAGGAC
Molecule: long non-coding RNA, 6163 nt
Organism: Fukomys damarensis (Damara mole-rat)
Lineage: Eukaryota; Metazoa; Chordata; Mammalia; Rodentia; Bathyergidae
Exons: 5
Source: RefSeq, a predicted model, not a curated record